UGGGUUCCAAGCUGCUGUGGCUUCCAGUGAGUUGCCAUCACCUGUGUCUCCACAGCCUUUGAUGGGAUCCUCCACUGAACAUAUUCACCUUUAUGCAGAUGCUGAUGAACUUGCAGCUUCUGACACUUCGGUCUCCUGGAAACACAUAUCACUCAGCUCCCCUUGCCUUCAUCCGGGAGUAAAAUUUUCUUGAGGAUUCCGGAGCUGAGGAGUUGCCAGCACCAUACUUCUUGUACAGCCUGAAGAACUGCCAUGCUCAGCAUGAUCUUCAAAUUGCUGGAUCUACUCCGUUUAACACUUCAGAAAUUGCAGGAGAAAUUACCUGCUUAAUUGUAUGCAGAAAGGAAGUGUGUGGGAAUACAGAAAGUACACAACUAUUAAAGACCAGAAAGAGAAAUCAGAGAUAGCACGUCUGCUCACAUCCCUAGCAGACAUCACAGGAGUAUACAUAUCUGAAAACAGGUCUGGAAAAUACCGUCCU
Long non-coding RNA from Cercocebus atys (sooty mangabey), 481 nucleotides. RefSeq lists it as uncharacterized. The transcript has 5 exons. Lineage: Eukaryota; Metazoa; Chordata; Mammalia; Primates; Cercopithecidae. The record is from RefSeq and is a predicted model, not a curated record.